CGGGCCCAGUGUGACACCCUCCCGGGCCCAGUAUGACACCCUCCCGGCUCUCAAUGCGGGCCCAGUGUGACACCCUCCCUGCCUCUGUGCGGGCCCGGAUUGAGAGCCGCUGGGCCUAGCUUGGCCUCUACAAGCAUUCCAGCCUCACCCUACUUCCAAAGCAUUUGUCCGACCUCUGGAGUCUCAAGGUGAAGGCUGGUGUGUUGUGGGACUGUGUUCAGCGAACUAAUGUCAUGAGCUGCUAAUGUAUUCUUGUAUUCUGUCGUGCUGAACAUUGUAUUGGUUUUAUUUAUUUUUCCCGUUAAGAUUUUGUGCUUGAGCAUCUAUAGGCAUGUACCCGGAUUGCAGUGAGGCGUAAACCUUUCCCUGAACUCACCUGAAUACGUGCGACGAUUAAGUCGAUUCAGUUCCGACCCUCUCCUCCGAGCCACCUCGAGCCCAGGCCCUUUGGAGAAUGUGCAAAGCGAAGGAGAGAGUCACAGGGUGGUGAGGUCAGAGCCCAAGACCGGUCUGUCGAGCAGAUCACGUUCGAGGGGUUGGGUUUAACCUUCAGGCUGGGUCGGUGUUGGAAAGGGCCGAAGGGAAUUUUCCUCACGGCCGUUUCCGUUGUGUUCCAGGUUCGUGUGCAACGGCCCCGCCUCUGCAUUCUCCCAUGAAGAAGACGGGCAAGCUGCGCAUGGGCGGGGCAAGAGCAAGGUCCAAACGUUCAGCACCCAGCGUCGCUUCAAACUCCGCGGUGGAAGCUGACUCUCUGGCAGUCUGUGAAGGUAAAGACUGUGUUGGUGGGGGGGGGAGGGC
Chiloscyllium plagiosum (whitespotted bambooshark) is the source of this 798-nucleotide non-coding RNA. The record is from RefSeq and is a predicted model, not a curated record. Lineage: Eukaryota; Metazoa; Chordata; Chondrichthyes; Orectolobiformes; Hemiscylliidae.